Long non-coding RNA from Pungitius pungitius (ninespine stickleback), 8220 nucleotides. RefSeq lists it as uncharacterized. The transcript is spliced from 4 exons. The record is from RefSeq and is a predicted model, not a curated record. Lineage: Eukaryota; Metazoa; Chordata; Actinopteri; Perciformes; Gasterosteidae.
GAGAAGAAGAAGUUAAACGUGGAGCUUCUGAUGAGGCAGCGAGGACACAGUGUUCAUUUCCUGUUUCAGACAGACAGACAAGAACAUGGAAGGUGGUCAUGUGAUCAGUCCCCCCCCCUCUGUAGAUUGUUGUUAUCUGAGACACUUUAAAUGGGGGGGGGGCUGCAUGCUGUGGAGGCGACGAUAGAUUAGAGACAACAGGACACGGAUCAUGACCCCAUCAGGGACAAAAGAAGGACUUUAGAGGACAGACGUUGUCCCCUUUAAGGCUCUCACAUGACUCCUCCUUUUUAUUCCAGUGCUUCAAAUGCGGAAAAUGUGUCUGCUGAACGUUUCCAUGGAAACGAAAAACAGAGCAGCUGUUGACAAAAUAGUUCCUGGAAGUGAAUCUGAAGUUGUGUGAAGUUAAUCAUUUAAACGUUUCUUCAUCAUACAUUUAAAACUAAAUCUGCUUCCUCAGACGUCAGGUUUGAACUGUUCUCUAAGUUCAUUAUUUAUUAUCCAAUCAGACGGUCUAAAGGUAAUCACCCCCCCUAAAGGAGAGGGACAGUCCAUUUAUUCACCUGGUCGGAGAGGACGGGAGACACCGGAGGAAGGAAGGAAGGAGUUAGUGAGGAGAGGAAGGAAGGACAUAGUGAGGAGAGCAGCUUCUCCACAGCUGCUUCCUGUUUUCCUCUCACUUUCCCAGCCGUUGGCGUUUUGGUGUGUGUGUGUGUGUGUGUGUGUGUGUGUGUGUGUGUGUGUGUGUGUGUGUGUUCUUGUUCUUCUAUGCCGGUGGGGACCUAUACCUGAUUGCACACAGACCGGUGGGGACUUGUGUCCCCGUGGGGACCUAAAAUGAGGUCCCCACGGGCAAACCCCUCCCACAAGCUCCAAAAUGGUGUCUAGAUACACCCCCAAUGAUUUUUUCUGAGGUCCCCUGGAACAUCAAUUUCAUGACAAAACUGUGUGAGUGUGUUUCUGAAUGCGCCCCUAGUGGAUGCACACGGGUACUGCAGUCCCCAUGAGGUUGGCUGUUCUUGAAGUGUGCGUCGCUGUUUUUCCACUCACUACCGCCCCCUAUCGGUUCAAAAGUGGUAUUUUCGCAACAUACACUUUCAAUGCUGUCUGUUUGAUGGUGGUAAAACAGACCACAAAUAAAAUGCUUUAUUUCAUAAAAAGUAUACAAAUAAAUAAACCAAAAAAUUCAUACAUACAUAAUAUUAAUACUGAUAUUGAUCAAAUUAUUCAAUUAAAUAAAAAUCAAUUUCAUUAAAACAAUUAUAAGGUUUAUUUCAAAUGUAUAAAAUGUUAGACUAGCCUUUAUGUAAACUCUUGCCUGUUUAUUUAAUACUAUUUUAAGGAUAUGUUGUUAUUAGUAUGUCAUCAUUGAUAUUAUUGACAAUCGUAAUAAUAGUCUAUAUUUGAUUUCAUUUAUCAUAUGAAUAGUGUAACAUGAAUUAUUGCAGAGAUCAAUAAGGUCUUUUAUUUUCAGAUAACUUGUCUUAAUAAACAGUGCCCACUGUUUAAUCACAACGCUAUGGAUGAUAAUAGACAAGCAAGUAUAGAGUUGUAUCCAUAGACAAAAUAGGAGUACAAAAGACAUUUUACUUUAAAUCAAUAUAGCAAGAUGCUUUGAUGGAUGACCAUUUAAUGUGUACACUUUCUAUAUCAAAUUAAUUAGGUUAAUAUUUGCGUGAACUAUAAAUGACAAGUUGUUGACUUGCUGAGGGAUUGCAUAGAGCAGGGGUAGGCAUUGUAUGGCUCGCGGGCCACAUCCGGCCCUUUGGCUGUCCGUGACCGGCCCGUGAGAGGUUGAUUGGAAAUUACAAAGUAAAUAUUUUUGUCUAAUUUUACCUCAUGCAUGGACUAAAGCUGCAGUACUUUUAUUCUUCUCCUUGGCUUUGGACGAGAGCUAACUGAGGAGCUGGCAGCACUGCGCUCAAUGAAAGUGAUAACGACAGGGAGCGAUUUAUUCACGGAGGUAGAUGCAUGCACAAACAUGCUGGGUCUGAAAUGGGACCAAUUUGCAGGUGUCACAACAGAGGCCUGUCCAAGUCCUGUCAAUAUUUUUGCAUUUUAUAAAUGUGGUGACCCCUGCUGUGGAGGCAGCAGCUUUGCAGUGGGAUUUUGUGGGCUGAGUUUGGUGAUUGAAGGCACCUGGGCCCGGUUCCCUGAGAUUAAAAGACCCAGUGUUCAUUCUCUCUUCUCUCUCCAGUAGACGUCCGGUGGUGUGGUAGUAGACGUCCGGUGGUGUGGUCGUGUACCUUUUUUUCGUUGGCUUAUGUUAAAUAAAGAAGAUGUUAAAACUCUUUAAAACAGUACAACUCCAAUCUUGUCAUGGCCCAAAGAGCCAGGUUGUGACAUAAUACAUCAGCCUGUGUUGCAAGUCAAAAAUUAACCAUGUCAUUGAUGUUGUCACUAAAAUAUUUAACUUCAUCAGGGCACAACCAUUGAAUCACAGACAGUUUGCUACACUUUUGGAGGAGCAUGAGAAUGAACAUUGUGACAUAGGCUACGACACAGCACAGUCAUGAUUUGAUUGUUAUAUAUGUAAACUAUUUAAAAUCUAUAACACCCCAAUAAUGCAACUAAAACAUCAAAAAUGGUUAGGGUGGUGUUCUUGUAUAUUUACCCAAGUGCUUUCCUGUGUUAUUUUUAGGCUAUAGUAUCAAUAUAAAACAUAUUUUACUGUAGGAUGCCUUAGCCUGGAAUCAACCAAGGCCUGCAGUGUGAGCUAUUUUGCAUCUGAAUUACAUGAGGGCAAAGGGAAAAAUUGCCCAUAAGAAAUAUCAUUUUGCCCCAAAUAUCACUACGAAAGGGGCCAAAAAUGCCAUUGAAUGUUUUUGAGUCUCGCCUUGACUGUUGUUCCGUGUGCGGGAAGGAUCAAACGUUCUUAAAAAGAAAAAAGGAGCACUUCUUGAUCAGACCUGUGAGUUCGCAGAGAGCAAAUCCAGUCUCCGUCACCAUCUCAGGUCCAAAAGAAAAAGGCCCUCAAAUUUAGCAACAACCAAUGUCGUUGUCUACCGGGGAAUUCUUCUGCUGACUUUAUCAAGUGGAGCAAAAACAACACGAAAUACGUGUCCUUUCGUCACCAGGCAACCGAGCAACAUAGUGGGUGAUAACCAGUUGUUUCAAAAGUAUUCACAUUCAUUACUCAAGUAGAAGUAUAGAUACUUCUGUUGAAGUAUCAACUCAAGCUUUUAACUUAAGUAAAAAUACUGAUUGUGUAGGUGUAAGGGGAAAUAAUUCCAUCAAGUACAAAGUCUUAAUGUGUAAUCUCGCUCACAGAACAUGUCAGUCCAUUACAAUAGACAAUAAUAAUUCAGAUCAUGUGAACCUGCCGUUCGGAUGAUGUAAACAUGGUGAUGUUCAGAGAGGCAAUGCUAAAACAUAGGGACACAUGCUCAAACAAAUAAAACGCCCCUGGAUACUUCCGGUUAAGUUAACCAUCAUGUGUUGAUGAUGUCACAGAGGUGCGCGGUUUUGUGAAAUAAUAAAGAUGGACGGAUACAGCGCCAAUGACUAAUAUUAGUACUGCGUGUUUUACUUGGACAAUUAAAUGUCAGUGGACACUCACAAAUACUACAGCCCCCAUCACGAUUACAAUUGUUCACUCCUCAGUGCGCGGUUUCGCCCACCAGCGGAACCCCUCCGCCCCUAAACCCGGCCGGUCCGCCCGCAACUUUCAACGUGCUUAUUAACUGACGGACCUUCUUGCGGUCCGCGAAAAAGGUUAUUAAUAGUAUAUUAAGUUGACGCUUUGUUGCGUAAAAUAAAGACCAAACGAAAAGAAUAAAAUGAUCUUCUGUCAUUCACGUAAGAAAAUAAACUCACGUGUCUGCAGCUCAAUAACAACACCGAAGGAACAACGUCUCGACCCCGGUUUAAGUCUCCAGCAGACGAGGAGUAGCCUCGUUAGCAGUUUAGCUAGCUAGCACUUAUCGCUCUCCCAUGUUUGAAAUAUCUAACCGUCCUGCCUCCACAUACGGUUAUGUCCCAGGUGUGGUCGUGAAAAGCAAGUUCCAUUUUUAUGUAUGCAUCAAUGCAUUCCAACUAAUGAGGCUUGCUAGCUACCCUUAGUUAACGGUUCACAGACUGCUGUCAGUGAGAAAUGUUUCAUCUCCUAUAGGGUUGGGUACCGAGAACCGGUACUAAUAUAGCACCGGUUCCUACGCGGUACCUACCGUACUGAAAUGCAACGCAGAUUUCGGUGCUUAGUUUCGGUUCCUGAGCCGAUUGAAAAAAUGUAUUUACACACUCUGAUGACACCGUCCUCUCAGCAGCAAACGAUAGCCUACCGUGUGGCAAGCUAGCCAUCACCCUUCUAUUCUAUUUAUUUAAGUCAGUAUUUCCCUCCCUCUUUCAGCACGCGGCACUAUCGCCCAGACGGAUGCAGGCACACUAUUGCGCGCACACACAGACACGUGCGCAUAUACAGGAGAGCUGCGCUCUCCAGCGGACACAGAGCGUGAGUCCGCAACUACUGCACCCCUCCCGUCGGACAGCCCCCCACUGAAGUAUUAAACAGAGGGUGUAACGACGUUCCUUCGGUGCUGUUCGCCAUUAAGCCACAUUGAGCUGCAGACACGUGACUCCAUUUCUUCACGCAAAUGACGGCAGAUCGUUUGAUUCUUUUCGUCUUUAUUUUACACAGCAUAGCGUUAACUAAACAUAGAAAUAAUAAUAAAUUCUAUCACAUGGUGGAUAAACAAUAUGCUCUUUUGCUUAAUCAGAAAUAAUUUUAAAUGCACCGGUUUAGCACCGAAAAAACCCCCGAUACCAAUCCCUACUCUCCUCAAAGGUUACUGACAUCUUGUGGUUAACAGCCAAUCGUGUAUUUGGAUAAAAUACAAUUAGUUGAGACUGUAGUUGAUUGAGGGUUUCAAGGUUUAAAUUAGUUUUGUUUUUACAGAAGCAUGGCGUAAUCAUCUCAAUAAACGAGAGCCAACUUUGGUUGCUGUGAAUCUGAUCUAGAAGACAGCGUUCUGCAAAAUAGUCAAGCUGUUUGACAUCUCUUAACACGAGAAACGAUAAAAGAAAUAAAAAGAAAAUUGAAUGAGUCUGAUUAAUGUUUUCUGUUUUGAUUCAAAGAAUCUAAGAAAAACCCUUUAGAUUUGUAAACUACUGCCUAAUAGUCUCAUUACUGCCAUUUUAUGGCAAUUACAUAUACAUCCAAAUGUAGUCCAAAUAAGUAUAUUUAAUCGUUUUAACAAAGGUAUUAUGUUAUUUCACUAGUUUAAUGAAAAAAUGCCGCCAAUUUUUUGAUAAAACAACCCUGCUUUUCAGUUAGUGGGGGCAAGUGCGUAACAAUGCAUUCUUUAGGAAAUAUUGAGAAAAUACCAAUCUAACCCCCCCAAUAUACAUGGUUACGCCCUUGAAUGGGGCCUAAAUAUUAUGUGAAUUUCCUACCCUGCUAUGGCAUGACAUAUUAUGCAGCACGAUAAAGUGUCAUUAAUGUCUACAUUGAAUCAACGGUGCUAGAAUAUUUGGUGUUUGGUUGUCCUCCCCCAAAGCCCAUAUAUAUGGAUAACUUGCCAACGAUAUAAACUAUUUGACAAAAGUAUAUAGAUAACACUGCAAUAAGUAAGACAAAUCUUUCGAUAUGAGACAGGCUGUCUCAGUUGAGUUGGGGUCUGAUAGGCGCAGAUACGAAGACAAUUGGUUGAAGUUGUCAACAUCAAAGGGGGCUGACUUUGGCAGUCUAGAAAGCUUUUGGAAUACACCCUGAAACCAGAGAUGGGGAUGGUGAGAAGAAAUUCAGUCUGAAGAAGAGUAAAUGGGAUUGGGUCAAGGGUGUAUGUGGUGAGGCAGUUAGAGUACAUACUGAAACCUCUUGUGAAGCCACAUAAGGCCUCCUGAUGGUAUCAGCCCCAGGGUGCUGAAGACCUGCGCCAUCCAGCUGUCUAAAGCCCACCAACAUCUCCUUAUUCUGAACCUAAAGCAGCAGGCAGUCCCGAUGCUGUAGGAGACACCGUGGCCUCAAUGACCACUGACUAGUUGCCCUCACAUCCCAUGUGAUGAAGGUGCUGGAGAGGCUGCUCUUGACCCACCUUCAAGCCCAGAUAAAAUCAUCACCGGGCCCUCUGCAAUUUGCAUUGCCUUAUGUGGGAGUGGAUGACGCCAUCAUCUACCUGCUGCCACGAGCCCAGUCGCACCUGGAUGGUGGCUCUAUCCCUUUCUUUGACUUCUCCAAUCAGUGAUUCUGGCGCUUCACAGUUCUGUGUACCUUGUACACAACUCACUUCAGUUAGGGCAGCUCCGACCGCUGGGCGCUACAUGACUUGUAAAAAUAAAUGCUGCAGCCUGCCGAAGAGCAACGUCAGUUUUUACGGCAUAAUGCCGGUAUGAACAGUGCGUGAGUUACCGUAAAACCUUGAUUAAAGACUACAUAGAAGACUGUAAAAAUUGUCAGCCCCUCCCCACUCUUUAUUCUUAAACCGGAAAUAUGAUCAUUAGCGCCUAAAACGUUUUGUGUAUUCUUGUGUGAGUACUACACUUUUAAAUGCUAUUUCCCAUUCUAAAUUCAUAAUUUAUGUCUGCACAUAUAAAUACUUGUUCUGAAUACAAGGGCUUGUAAAUGUAGUAGUUGUAGUUUUUAUUCUUAAAAUAUCAAUGUUUGUCUACAUUUUUAAUUGUUCAAAAAUGCUUCCAGUUUUAUUAGAAAUUAAAUAAAAUACAUAUUAAAAUGUAUACUUAAUUCUAGUUGAGUAAUAACGUCUCAACUUCACCAGGUAUUUUAUGUAAUCCUUCGGUUUUAGUAAUUACUAUUACCCUUCUACGUUAUUAACAAGGCCCAGCAGAACAGGCUGAGCCCCAAUGCUCCCUCAAGCUAAUGGUGACUGAAGGAGUGGGGGGAUGGGCGAGGGUACGGUGGGGACAGUCAAUGUCAGGUUUUGUGUUAAGAACCUUAAGUUUCGUUUCUUUACACAAAACCGAACUGUUACCAUCCACGUGGGGUCCUCGGUCUGGCCACGCCCCCACCAAGCACCUGCUACCGUCCAUUUCCCUCAGACUGCCGAGGAGCAGACAACGUGACGGUGCUGGCUGCAGAAGCUGGAUAGAAAUGGUGAGUUUUUAAUUAUUGGACUAGCUUCUAAUGUAAAACAGUGCUUUUUACGUUUACUUUGAUACUAUUAAUAUAUGUACUGCCAUAUAAAAUGAGCUGUUGCAAUGUGCUAAACUCAACUUAGAUGGGAAGCUAAUGUUAGCUAACAAUAAGCAAGCAUGUGCAAGCAGCAGCAUGUGCACGCGUUGUGAAAUAGAAUGCUGGACAGCUAAUUAGUUAUUUAUUAUAUACUAUAUAAAUAUAUUCAUGUUUUAUCAAUAUCUUUUCACACAGAAUGUGAAUAUUAUGCUCAACAAAGGGAGUGUAAUACUUAAUCUGCGUUAAGACCUGGAUUAUAACUAAUUUCCCUUUAACCAUUUUAAGUAUCCUUACGGUGGCUUUUGGGCCUAUAACACUUAAUAAGCAGUUUUCCAUUUGCCCAAAGAGUGAUUGUAAUAUCUACCCAUGUAUAAAUAGGCAUUUUAAUUCAGAUUGUCAUAGGUAUUGAGAUAGAUAAUAUAAUGUUUGUCGUUAAGAACAGAAGUAGAUGUUGUUACUAUAAUGCAUUCCAUAACAGAUAAACUUAAUUCAUUUCAGUAAAAAAAAAAAAAGAGUACUGUAAUGAGUUGGAUGUAUAGCUUUGGCUGAAUGUGUCCCUUGUGCUUUUAGGAGGAUGGAGCAUGUUUGCCAUCCAGUAGUGACAGCUCGAAGUGCACAGAUGCUGAUGUCGGAGAAAUGAAGGAGCCUUUGACCGUGAACAUACUAACCAGGUAGUUCCGAUGAAAAGAUGCUGCUGGCUGGAGAGGUCUGGUGAAUCCCACACAAAAAAGGGUCACCACAAACAAAGAAGAAGUGGACCAAAGAGGAAAUCGAAGCUGUUGAAAGGACCUUAAUGGACUACAUCAAUGGUGGUCAGUGGUCAGAAAUGCAUCACAACAUCGUCACUGGCCGAUCAAGGGAUGAGUUGUCAAAAUAUAUAUUAAAAACUGAAUUUAAAAGAAUUAAAAAAAAGGUAAGCCGCAUUUUCAUCAGAUGGAAGAUUAAAUUCCUGGUGGACUGCCAGCACGUUUACAGACAUUGUUUACAGUAGUCUUAUUGCUCUCUGUUAUUGUUAUAUUUAUAUAAUAUUUGAAAGUUGAAAUGUUGUGCACUGCAGUUGUGUGUGUAUAUACAUAUAUAUAUAUAUAUAUAUA